CAUAGUUCGCGCCUGCGAUUUUCAAGUCUGUCGUUGCUGUCUGGUUUAGUUCCUGCUUUCUGCGGUAUUCAUCCCUUCAUCACCCUGCCGUCUUGACCUUCGUCCCAAUCGGGGGCAAGUCCCUUUUUAUUAGUUUUUCAGGAGAUUCAAGAUAUGGCAAACGGUACAGUUAAGUGGUUCAAUGAUUCCAAGGGCUUCGGCUUCAUCACUCCAGAAAAUGGUGGCGAUGACUUGUUCGCGCACUUUUCCGCAAUCCAAAGCUCUGGCUUCAAGACUCUGACCGAAGGUCAGCGCGUGAGCUUUGACAUCACUGCCGGCCCUAAGGGUCAGCAAGCAUCGAACAUCCGCGCAGCGGACUAAACGGACAGGCUAGCAUGGCUAACCAUGCUGCCCUGCCGGAGAGCUCGGCUUGCCGGGCUCUUUCUU
Molecule: small RNA, 426 nt
Filed under: Ferriphaselus amnicola
Lineage: Bacteria; Pseudomonadati; Pseudomonadota; Betaproteobacteria; Nitrosomonadales; Gallionellaceae
Source: RNAcentral